GUAGGUGGCAAGCGUUGUCCGGAAUUAUUGGGCGUAAAGCGCGCGCAGGCGGUUCUUUAAGUCUGAUGUGAAAGCCCACGGCUCAACCGUGGAGGGUCAUUGGAAACUGGAGAACUUGAGUACAGAAGAGGAAAGCGGAAUUCCACGUGUAGCGGUGAAAUGCGUAGAGAUGUGGAGGAACACCAGUGGCGAAGGCGGCUUUCUGGUCUGUAACUGACGCUGAGACGCGAAAGCGUGGGGAGCAAACAGGGAUUAGAUACCCUGGUAGUCCACGCCGUAAACGAUGAGUGCUAAGUGUUAGGGGGUUUCCCGCCCCCUUAGUGCUGCAGCUAACGCAUUAAGCACUCCGCCUGGGGAGUACGGCCGCAAGGCUG
RNAcentral lists this ribosomal RNA (374 nucleotides) under uncultured organism. Its description in RNAcentral is "partial 16S ribosomal RNA". It matches the Rfam family "Bacterial small subunit ribosomal RNA", at positions 527 to 896 of the family's 1533-position model. The record is from RNAcentral.